This 522-nucleotide ribosomal RNA is filed under the name uncultured eukaryote. RNAcentral's name for it is "bacterial SSU rRNA". It matches the Rfam family "Eukaryotic small subunit ribosomal RNA", at positions 22 to 548 of the family's 1831-position model. The record is from RNAcentral.
AGUCAUAUGCUUGUCUCAAAGAUUAAGCCAUGCAUGUCUAAGAAUAAGCCCCAGAAUGGUGAAUCUGCGAAUGGCUCAUUAAAUCAGUUAUUGUUUAUUUGAUGGUACCUUACUACAUGGAUAUCCGUAGUAAUUCUAGAGUUAAUACAUGCGACCAUCCGCGACUUCGGAAGCGGUGCAUUUAUUAGUUUCAAACCAUCGGGUUUCGGCCCUUUGAUGGCGAGUCAUAAUAACUGAGCGAAUCGAAUGGCCUUGCGCCGUCGAUGCUUCAUUCAAAUUUCUGCCCUAUCAGCUUUCGAUGGUAGGAUCUUGGCCUACCAUGGCUAUAACGGGUAACGGGGAAUUAGGGUUCGAUUCCGGAGAGGGAGCUUGAGAAACGGCUACCACAUCCAAGGAUGGCAGCAGGCGCGCAAAUUACCCAAUCCCGACACGGGGAGGUAGUGACAAUAAAUAGCAAUGCUAGACUAAUCUUAGUCCGGCAAUUGGAAUGAGAGCAAUUUAAACCCAUCAUCGAGGAGCCAU